GAUGAAGAACGCAGCGAAAUGCGAUAAGUAAUGUGAAUUGCAGAAUUCAGUGAAUCAUCGAAUCUUUGAACGCACCUUGCGCCCUUUGGCUAUUCCAGAGGGCAUGCCUGUUUGAGUAUCAUGAACACCUCAACUCUCAUGGUUCUGCCAUGAUGAGCUUGGACUUUGGAGGUCUUGCUGGCCCCUGUGGUCAGCUCCUCUCAAAUGGAUCAGCUUGCCAGUGUUUGGUGGCAUCACAGGUGUGAUAACUAUCUACGCUUGUGGUUUUCCACCAGGUAACCUUCAGUGAUGGAGGUUCGCUGGAGCUCAUAAACGUCUCUCCUCAGCGAGGACAGCUUCUUGAAUGUUUGAUCUCAAAUCAGGAAGGGCUACCCGCUGAACUUAAGCAUAUCAAUAAGCGGAGGA
This 405-nucleotide unclassified non-coding RNA is filed under the name soil metagenome. Its description in RNAcentral is "partial contains 5.8S ribosomal RNA, internal transcribed spacer 2, and large subunit ribosomal RNA". The stretch from base 1 to 121 matches the Rfam family "5.8S ribosomal RNA", at positions 35 to 154 of the family's 154-position model. The record is from RNAcentral.